CUCAGGUGCAAGGAUUCAGCAGAAGCCAACAUGCUGUCCUGCAGUGAGCCCUCCUUGCAGCAGGUAAGUUUUCACUUAGAAUAGAAUAGAAUAGAAUAGAAUAGAAUAGAAUUUAUUAUUUAUACCCCGCCCAUCUGGCUGGGUUUCCCCAGCCACUCUGGGCGGCUUCCAACAGUGUAUUAAAAUACAGUGGUCUGUUAAACAUUAAAAGCUUCCCUUAAGAGGGCUGCCUUCAGAUGUCUUCUAAAAGUCUGGUAGUUCUUCUCUUUGACAUGUGGUGGGAGGGUGUUCCACAGGGCUGGUGCCACCACCAAAAAGGCCCUCUGCUUGGUUCCCUGUAACUUGGCUUCUCGCAGUGAGGGAACCGCCAGAAGGCCCUCAGCGCUGGACCUCAGUGUCUGGGCUGGAUGAUAGGGGUGGAGACGCUCCUUCAGGUAUACUGGACCGAGGCCGUUUAGGGCUUAUUGUGCUGCUAUCACAGUUUCUGUAACUAUUUAUAAUAAUCAUUGUUGUCCUUCAUUGGAUACACACCACCACUGUUGUCAUCAAAAAUGUGUGUGAAUUCAAGGGCUGAAAUUAUGCACUCACUGUCUCCCCACAGUGGAUACUUGGCCCACUAUUUCCCCAUACGAGCAAUAAAUUAUAUGGUUGUCCUUCUGACUUUCAAUAAGAAAUAUUUGUCCUGAUAGUGGUACCAAGAUUCCACAGCCAGCACUGAAAUUUUCUCAAAAGGUUUUAAAAUAAGGACAAAACAUAGGCUGAGAUAUGUUUCCUCCACCGAAUUUACACAUUGCAAAGCAAAUGGGAGGGGAGUUUUAAAAAAGAUUUUCCUUGUAUCCUUGCAAAUAUCUUUCUUAUCUUUCUUCUCCUUCUUAACCAAUAACCUUAGUAGCAUUUGUUCAGAAGAAAGCUUACAUGGCGGUAGGAUGCAGCCUUCUGAAAAGACAGCAGAGGUUUGUUUGAUUUUUUCCUCCUCCACAAAAAUAUCACAAAGGUCCCAAGAUACAAGAUAUAUGAACAAAGCUUCCUGUUGCUGAUUUGGAAGGCUUGAAACAUAAUAAUCUCCCAUGCAUGUUAAAUAAUUAAUGAUGCAUCCAGAUCUUACAGCUCCUUCAAUCUAAAGUAAUCUUGCAAAGUACCAGUGAGCCCAAAAAACAGAGAGGGAAUUGCAACCUGAGCAAGAGAACAGAAGUCAAA
Molecule: non-coding RNA, 1197 nt
Organism: Podarcis lilfordi (Lilford's wall lizard)
Lineage: Eukaryota; Metazoa; Chordata; Lepidosauria; Squamata; Lacertidae
Source: the annotation of a GenBank genome assembly